UACGGAGGGUGCAAGCGUUAUCCGGAUUCACUGGGUUUAAAGGGUGCGUAGGUGGGUCUGUAAGUCAGUGGUGAAAUCUCCGAGCUUAACUCGGAAACUGCCAUUGAUACUAUAGGUCUUGAAUUAUCUGGAGGUGAGCGGAAUAUGUCAUGUAGCGGUGAAAUGCUUGGAUAUGACAUAGAACACCAAUUGCGAAGGCAGCUCACUACGGAUAUAUUGACACUGAGGCACGAAAGCGUGGGGAUCAAACAGG
This 253-nucleotide ribosomal RNA is filed under the name uncultured bacterium. RNAcentral describes it as "partial 16S ribosomal RNA". It matches the Rfam family "Bacterial small subunit ribosomal RNA", at positions 524 to 776 of the family's 1533-position model. The record is from RNAcentral.